Molecule: ribosomal RNA, 1055 nt
Filed under: uncultured bacterium
Lineage: Bacteria
Description: bacterial SSU rRNA
Rfam family: Bacterial small subunit ribosomal RNA
Source: RNAcentral
CUCCUACGGGAGGCAGCAGUGAGGAAUAUUGGUCAAUGGCCGAGAGGUGAACCAGCCAAGUCGCGUGAGGGAUGAAGGUUCUAUGGAUCGUAAACCUCUUUUAUAAGGGAAUAAAGUGCGGGACGUGUCCCGUUUUGUAUGUACCUUAUGAAUAAGGAUCGGCUAACUCCGUGCCAGCAGCCGCGGUAAUACGGAGGAUCCGAGCGUUAUCCGGAUUUAUUGGGUUUAAAGGGUGCGUAGGCGGCCUUUUAAGUCAGCGGUGAAAGUCUGUGGCUCAACCAUAGAAUUGCCGUUGAAACUGGGGGGCUUGAGUAUGUUUGAGGCAGGCGGAAUGCGUGGUGUAGCGGUGAAAUGCAUAGAUAUCACGCAGAACCCCGAUUGCGAAGGCAGCCUGCCAAGCCAUUACUGACGCUGAUGCACGAAAGCGUGGGGAUCAAACAGGAUUAGAUACCCUGGUAGUCCACGCAGUAAACGAUGAUCACUAGCUGUUUGCGAUACACUGUAAGCGGCACAGCGAAAGCGUUAAGUGAUCCACCUGGGGAGUACGCCGGCAACGGUGAAACUCAAAGGAAUUGACGGGGGCCCGCACAAGCGGAGGAACAUGUGGUUUAAUUCGAUGAUACGCGAGGAACCUUACCCGGGUUUGAACGCAUUCGGACCGAGGUGGAAACACCUUUUCUAGCAAUAGCCGUUUGCGAGGUGCUGCAUGGUUGUCGUCAGCUCGUGCCGUGAGGUGUCGGCUUAAGUGCCAUAACGAGCGCAACCCUUGCCACUAGUUACUAACAGGUAAAGCUGAGGACUCUGGUGGGACUGCCAGCGUAAGCUGCGAGGAAGGCGGGGAUGACGUCAAAUCAGCACGGCCCUUACAUCCGGGGCGACACACGUGUUACAAUGGCGUGGACAAAGGGAGGCCACCUGGCGACAGGGAGCGAAUCCCCAAACCACGUCUCAGUUCGGAUCGGAGUCUGCAACCCGACUCCGUGAAGCUGGAUUCGCUAGUAAUCGCGCAUCAGCCAUGGCGCGGUGAAUACGUUCCCGGGCCUUGUACACACCGC